This is a non-coding RNA of Ctenopharyngodon idella (grass carp), 2356 nucleotides long. The record is from the annotation of a RefSeq genome assembly. Lineage: Eukaryota; Metazoa; Chordata; Actinopteri; Cypriniformes; Xenocyprididae.
CACUUACUUCAUCCUGUCUCAUAUGCAUCAUCACCACAAUAGUCUGUCCUUUUGCUGAAACAAGUCUUAACAGGUGCAUUCAUAUAGUCAAAGGUCCACAUCUCCGUAUGACUGAAAUUCUACAGAAAACUUUGAACUGUUUUGCCAGGUGCUGUAUGACUUCAAGUGAGACAAAAGAGACUUUGUCUUUUCAUUUGAGUUUUUCCAAUAGUAUAAUCCUGCAAAAUACAAGUUAUCUUACAUGCAGAUCAGUUCCGGCAGUGGAGUGCCGGCUGAUGUGCUGACGUCUGGGGUGUCGGCUGAUGUGCUUACGAGGAUCUUUUAUCUUGACAGAAGUCUUUUAUAGAGGGUAAAAAUACAGAUACUGUGCGAGUCCUCAGUGAUUCAUGAAGGUCUGAACGUGUUUGUUUUCACCCAGCAGAGGGCGUUCUUCUCAUUUCUGUGGUCCUCAUGUACACAGUGAGCUCAAGACUCAUCAUGGAAGGUCAAAUCUUGCCACAGGGUGGAGCUCCAGACUUAAAUCACAGUGUUUUAGUGAGAAAAGACACAUCCGAGUUUGUCAUUUCACUCCAUCAUGCUGCUCUGUGCACUUGGAAUAUUUGCAGUACUUGCAGGAGACUCUCUUGGUGAUGUAAUAACAUCUCAUGGUUCUGAAAAAGAAGCUCAAGAUGGUAACAGUGUUACUCUCUCCUGCAACUACAGCGGUGUUGUUUACAAUCUACUGUGGUAUCGUCAGUAUCAGAGAUCCAAACCAGAACUCCUUCUCUCCAUCAGUGAAUCUGGAGAUGCAGUUAAAGCAGAUCCAUCAGCCCACUGGUUUUCUCCUAAAGUUGACAAACUCAGAAAGCUCAUGGAACUGGAAAUCAGUCCUGCUAAAGUAUCAGACUCUGCUCUGUAUUACUGUGCUCUGGUGCCCACAGUGACAGGAAACUCUUUUCCUCAGUACAUAAUCUUUCUGCAUAUUAGUCAUGCUUUUCUUUGAUGUUUAACAAGCACAUGUAUUCUGUGUGUUGUUUCUGUGACUAAAUCAGUCAUCAGUAACUCAAGAACCUCUUUUAAUGAAUUCAAGUAGGCCUACCAACACAACACACAUUUCUAUAGAGAACAGCAAAGGCUGCCAAUCAAAAACCAUAAAAUUAAAGUAAAAUCUCCUUAUUUAAAUAAACUGAAAACACUGUCACAUGACCAGCAGCAACAGAACAUUAAACACUAACAGAUCUGUCUAGAUCUCAGCAUCUUUACUUAUUACAAUCUAGUUUGACUAUUUCUUUCAAACAAAACUUUUAGAUGUUGAUGUUUUAUUGAAAAUAGUCAAGUUUGACGUGACCGUUAUGGAGGUGAGCAUUUGCUUUAGUUGGGCUCCUGACCCUUGACUUCCUUACUUUAUUGUUUUUUUGACUGCUGUAACUGUGUUUUUGAAAUACAUCUGUUAUAGAAAAAUUUACAAAAAGAAAUUCUGGUUAGAAGAAGCUGUUUGUUUAUUGAUGACUCUGUCAUCAUACAGUGGUCAGAUUCAAGAAGAUUUACAUUUCACAAAGUAUGAUUUAGAAUAUUUUCAUUUGGUAGUCAUUUCUGCUAGUCAUCAACCUUUUUUUUUUUUUUUAACAAUCUUUAACUGUUUUUUAUAUUAAUGGUAAAUGUGUGGCACUCUGUGGUGCCAAAUUUAUUGUUGUAUUUUAAAAGUGUGGGCCUAGUGAGGGCUGCCCAUGCAGGGCAAGCGCUAAGGGGCCAACAUUUUGCCAAUGAGCAAAUUCUCAGGGCCCCUGCGCUGGCAGCCUGCUUGGGGCCCGUAAAGGGCCAGUGCAGGCUUGUUUGCAGGGAUUAUUUAUAUCCACAUAAUCAAGCAUUUCAAACUCUCCUUCAGAUUUCUUCUCAGCAAUUUUUAAGCUGGCCAUGUUUAUUUUUCCAACAAAAAUGAACUAACAACCUAUUAAUCUCCUUACAAGUGAAAUCCUGAACAAAUAAAGAAAGGCCAGGGAAAAUAAAUUUAGAUAAACCUUCGAUAUAGGACUCUGCCUAAAGUACACAGAUCUCUACGUAACCAAUUAUCAAUUUUGUUUUCUUAAACCAAAAGCAAUUUUGUUUUUUAACUUUCUCCACAGCAGACUUCCCAACAGUCAAAGCGGCAUUACGUCACAAAAGUGUGGACUUGGAGGAAGACCACAAGAGCUUAGGAUUCCAUUUGGGACAGGGCCUAUAAAGACUCCAUUACAGAAGUAAAUCAUAUUGCCAGAAGGCGGAGCUUAAUAUCAAGAUGUAGAAGCAUUUCAAUCUGAAGGAGGUUGUCAGAAUUCAAAGGCAUCCAGUCUGAAUGAUACUCAAGUCUUUCAGAUUCUUCUUCAGAUAUCUGCUAUCA